GUGGGGAAUAUUGGACAAUGGGCGCAAGCCUGAUCCAGCAAUGCCGCGUGGGUGAAGAAGGUCUUCGGAUCGUAAAGCCCUUUCGACAGGGACGAUGAUGACGGUACCUGUAGAAGAAGCCCCGGCUAACUUCGUGCCAGCAGCCGCGGUAAUACGAAGGGGGCUAGCGUUACUCGGAAUUACUGGGCGUAAAGGGCGCGUAGGCGGCUCUGUUAGUCAGGCGUGAAAUUCCUGGGCUUAACCUGGGGACUGCGCUUGAUACUGCAGGGCUUGAGGCCGAGAGAGGGUGGUGGAAUUCCCAGUGUAGAGGUGAAAUUCGUAGAUAUUGGGAAGAACACCGGUGGCGAAGGCGGCCAACUGGUCCAUUACUGACGCUGAGGUGCGAAAGCGUGGGGAGCAAACAGGAUUAGAUACCCCGGUAGUCC
This 425-nucleotide ribosomal RNA is filed under the name uncultured bacterium. RNAcentral describes it as "partial 16S ribosomal RNA". It matches the Rfam family "Bacterial small subunit ribosomal RNA", at positions 354 to 796 of the family's 1533-position model. The record is from RNAcentral.